UACGUAGGGUGCAAGCGUUGUCCGGAAUUAUUGGGCGUAAAGAGCUCGUAGGCGGUUUGUCGCGUCUGCUGUGAAAACCCGAGGCUCAACCUCGGGCCUGCAGUGGGUACGGGCAGACUAGAGUGCGGUAGGGGAGAUUGGAAUUCCUGGUGUAGCGGUGGAAUGCGCGGAUAUCAGGAGGAACACCGAUGGCGAAGGCAGAUCUCUGGGCCGUAACUGACGCUGAGGAGCGAAAGCAUGGGGAGCGAACAG
RNAcentral lists this ribosomal RNA (252 nucleotides) under uncultured prokaryote. RNAcentral describes it as "partial 16S ribosomal RNA". It matches the Rfam family "Bacterial small subunit ribosomal RNA", at positions 524 to 775 of the family's 1533-position model. The record is from RNAcentral.